CCCAGGAUUGGAGGUCAGAGGACCUGCCCAGUAGUCCUAGUUCAGUCAGGAACUCACUGUGACCUUGGACAAGUCACAUCCUCUUUCUUGGUUUCAGAUUCCAUAUACGCACAUUGAUCAGACUGGGCUAGAUGAUCUGUGAAGACAUUUUAGUUUCCAAAUAAGUAUUGUGAAUACUUAUUCUAGUUCUCUGUCUUUAGGAGAUCAGAUCUUCCUAAAUUAAAAAUCAUGAUGUGACAGCCUCUAGCCACUUGCCAGUUAGAUAUAUUAAAGGAUCAGUCCUCUUACAGUUUUUUUCGUCCAAAUUUAGCUUCCAGUAUUCAGUUUUUCAUGAACAUGGAAUCUUUUUUUUUUUUUUUUCAUCUAGAAUGGCUGUGGAACUUCAUAGCCCUCCUGCUAAUAGGGCAUCUAGGCCCACUGAUACAUGGGUAAGAUAAAUUUGUGUACUAUCUUCUCCCCAUGUCUUCAGGUUUUUUU
Mustela erminea (ermine) is the source of this 477-nucleotide long non-coding RNA. RefSeq lists it as uncharacterized. NCBI's taxonomy places the organism in Eukaryota, Metazoa, Chordata, Mammalia, Carnivora, Mustelidae. The record is from RefSeq and is a predicted model, not a curated record. The transcript is spliced from 3 exons.